RNAcentral lists this ribosomal RNA (557 nucleotides) under uncultured bacterium. RNAcentral describes it as "partial 16S ribosomal RNA". It matches the Rfam family "Bacterial small subunit ribosomal RNA", at positions 355 to 905 of the family's 1533-position model. The record is from RNAcentral.
UGGGGAAUUUUGGACAAUGGGCGAAAGCCUGAUCCAGCAAUGCCGCGUGUGUGAAGAAGGCCUUCGGGUUGUAAAGCACUUUUGUCCGGAAAGAAAUCCUUGGCUCUAAUACAGUCGGGGGAUGACGGUACCGGAAGAAUAAGCACCGGCUAACUACGUGCCAGCAGCCGCGGUAAUACGUAGGGUGCAAGCGUUAAUCGGAAUUACUGGGCGUAAAGCGUGCGCAGGCGGUUUGCUAAGACCGAUGUGAAAUCCCCGGGCUCAACCUGGGAACUGCAUUGGUGACUGGCAGGCUAGAGUAUGGCAGAGGGGGGUAGAAUUCCACGUGUAGCAGUGAAAUGCGUAGAGAUGUGGAGGAAUACCGAUGGCGAAGGCAGCCCCCUGGGCCAAUACUGACGCUCAUGCACGAAAGCGUGGGGAGCAAACAGGAUUAGAUACCCUGGUAGUCCACGCCCUAAACGAUGUCAACUAGUUGUUGGGGAUUCAUUUCCUUAGUAACGUAGCUAACGCGUGAAGUUGACCGCCUGGGGAGUACGGUCGCAAGAUUAAAACUUAAA